UACGAAGGGGGCUAGCGUUGCUCGGAAUCACUGGGCGUAAAGGGUGCGUAGGCGGGUUUUUAAGUCAGGGGUGAAAUCCUGGAGCUCAACUCCAGAACUGCCUUUGAUACUGGCGACCUUGAGUCCGGGAGAGGUGAGUGGAACUGCGAGUGUAGAGGUGAAAUUCGUAGAUAUUCGCAAGAACACCAGUGGCGAAGGCGGCUCACUGGCCCGGUACUGACGCUGAGGUGCGAAAGCGUGGGGAGCAAACAGG
Molecule: ribosomal RNA, 253 nt
Filed under: uncultured bacterium
Lineage: Bacteria
Description: partial 16S ribosomal RNA
Rfam family: Bacterial small subunit ribosomal RNA
Source: RNAcentral